CACGCGGUGUCAGUCCUUGAACUUGAUAGCGGCGUGGCUUCAAAUCGAGGU
Regulatory RNA element from Pasteurella multocida subsp. multocida str. Pm70, 51 nucleotides. It matches the Rfam family "L31-Gammaproteobacteria ribosomal protein leader". The record is from Rfam. NCBI's taxonomy places the organism in Bacteria, Pseudomonadati, Pseudomonadota, Gammaproteobacteria, Pasteurellales, Pasteurellaceae.